Molecule: ribosomal RNA, 164 nt
Filed under: uncultured bacterium
Lineage: Bacteria
Description: partial 16S rRNA
Rfam family: Bacterial small subunit ribosomal RNA
Source: RNAcentral
UAGGGAAUCUUCCACAAUGGACGCAAGUCUGAUGGAGCAACGCCGCGUGGGUGAAGAAGGGUUUCGGCUCGUAAAGCUCUGUUGUUAAAGAAGAAUGUGGGUAAGAGUAACUGUUUACCCAGUGACGGUAUUUAACCAGAAAGCCACGGCUAGCUACGUGCCAN